RNAcentral lists this transfer RNA (73 nucleotides) under Camelus bactrianus (Bactrian camel). It matches the Rfam family "tRNA". Rfam says of the family: Transfer RNA (tRNA) molecules are approximately 80 nucleotides in length. Their secondary structure includes four short double-helical elements and three loops (D, anti-codon, and T loops). The record is from Rfam by way of RNAcentral. RNAcentral also lists the same sequence under 2 other names. Lineage: Eukaryota; Metazoa; Chordata; Mammalia; Artiodactyla; Camelidae.
GUGGGUAUAGCUCUAAUGGAAGAGUACAUGUUUAGUAUGCAGGAGGUCCUGUGUUCAAUCCCCAGUACCUCCA